UUUUUUUUUUUUUUUUUUUUUUUUUUGUAAAUAAAUCGUUAAAGCUCUUCCGUGCCGCUUCUGGUUUCCACACGCGUGUGAGGGCUAAAAGUAGCUGUGACGCGCGUUCGCUGCUGUUUUCCUUUGUCGGGCGGGCGGAUUUAACGCCUAAUAUGUCUUCUCGCCCGCUAUUCCGCCUCUCCUCCGAGCCGUCUUUGUUUAGGCAUCCCCAUCUUUUAUUGCCGCUGACCGCCGGAAUGUUGUUGGUUUUCUCCCCCCCCUCCCCCUGCACCUCAUUUCAUAUAUAGGAAAGGAAAGAAAAGAAGGAAAAAGUCGAAGAGAAAGCCAUCCACAAAGAAAAGAAGAAGGAGAUAGUAGAGGUGAGGCUCUUCUGAGGGACAGAUUUGGCGACGUCGGGGAGGUUUUUGUGCUCGCUGUGGGUAGCAAAUAUGAAGGGAAUAUGGGAGAUAAAGAAAGGGAGCGCCAGCCUAGAGGUAGAGUAAGCUCUUGGAUAAUUGUGGAGAAUGAGCCUUGAAAGACUUAGUGUAGUCAGCACAGCCCAUCAGGGAGAAAAAAAGGUCAAAGAAGGGAAUGGAGCCAGGAACAAGUGGGAGAAUGUGGCGCGGGAGAUGUGGUCCUGCACCCACUGGGGUAUCCUGAGGUGCACAAGGAGCAUGUGUUGGAGAAGCUGGGGGCGGGGGGGGGAAACUGUGAGGAAACACGCACAGAUUGAUGGAGGUCGGGGAGGGGAUCUGGAAACAGAUGUACCAUAAGCCUCAGCUGUCAUUAGCCUGUAAUCAGAGAUGCUUUGGUUGUUGGGAGGGAUGGCAGCAUCUCCUCAGGAUGUAAGCUCGUGGGAGACAAGGAAGCUGCGUGUUGCUGGGGAUGUUCUGGAAGGAUUGGCUUUGUGAAGGAAGGCUGGUUGGGAGAAGUGUACAUCAACAGUGGCAGGAAUAAUGAUGUUGGAGUAACAAUGCACUCAAAUGCACACCUGGAGUGGCUGGAGCUCUGAAAUUUGUUGUGCUUGUAGCAAAGAGCACGUGGAAAUGUUAUCCUGGCAUCAGUUUCUGCUCUGGACCGAUUUGUUUUCAUUCAGGAUGAGGAAAAUGGAGCUGACGAGGAUGAUGAAGAGAAUCCUGAUGAUGUAGAUGAAGAAGAGGGUGGUGAUGAGGACGAAGAAGCAGAUGAGAAUGGGCAGGAGCAGGAUGGCCACGCAGAGAAACGAUCUGCAGAGGAGGAGGAGGAUGAAGUGGAUCCAAAGAGACAGAAGACAGAAAACGGCUCUUCAGCUUGAGUCCUCCCUCCCAUCCCCCUGUUCCGCCCAUCUCUCCUCCUCCAUUCCAGCCUGUGCUUGCACUGCCCGUUAGCCUCUGGCUUCACGCAAUCUCAGAUGAGGAAAGAUUAGAAAUGCUCUCAAACAGGGGAAGACAGCAGUUCCCUUCUCACCCAAAGGACCUAGUCCGUCCAUGACCUUCCCCAGCUGAAAUUAUCCCUGUCCCCUGCAGCCCUUCACUGCACCCCCCUUACCAGCGCUCCUGUUCCCUCAAGAAUCUCAUGGUUUCCUGGGCACACAGCCUUGCCAGGCACUUCACGUGGGCAAAGCACCUCCCGUCCCCUUGUCACCUGCCUGCCUGUUUUUGUCACUGGUAUGAGAUUCUUGAGAGCUCCCGCCCAGCCCUGCUGCCAGAGCUCCUGCCAGAGCCAGGAGGUGCAGGCACAGAUCUCGUGGUGCGUUCCCCAGUCCUAGGCCUCUUCUCAUCUGCUUUCCUGCUGAACCCUGAGAGACAAAAGAAAGAAUAUUACAAGCAAAUAAUGGUUCUAUUAAGCAACACAUGGAGACAGGAUUUAUUUUAAGCUUUUCUUUUUUUUUUUUUCCGAGUUUACAUUGACAGCAAGCUGGCCCUCGUGAAUUUUUUGAAAGAUAAGGGUUGUUUUAUAUACGAAUUUCAUCUGAGCUGUGUAUUUUUUUAAUUUGGAGGCUUUUUUAAAACAAAUCAAGAAGAGACACCAAUUGGGACCAAAACUUUGAUUUCCAUUUUUCCCUUCAGAUUUUCUUGUGACCAUUUUUUGUAAAUUAAAGGCAAUAUAGCCACAGCGUUUUCUAUGGCACAGACAUCACGAGGAUGAUAGAUAUAAAUAUAUAUAUUGUUUUCAACAAGCACUGUAAAUAAAAAGCGUUUAAAAUGUUUCAAA
Molecule: long non-coding RNA, 2172 nt
Filed under: Taeniopygia guttata (zebra finch)
Lineage: Eukaryota; Metazoa; Chordata; Aves; Passeriformes; Estrildidae
Description: lncRNA (ENSTGUG00000023841.1)
Source: RNAcentral